RNAcentral lists this ribosomal RNA (253 nucleotides) under uncultured bacterium. RNAcentral's name for it is "partial 16S ribosomal RNA". It matches the Rfam family "Bacterial small subunit ribosomal RNA", at positions 524 to 776 of the family's 1533-position model. The record is from RNAcentral.
UACGGAGGGUGCAAGCGUUGUUCGGAAUUAUUGGGCGUAAAGGGCAGGUAGGUGGUCCCAAAAGUCUACUGUGAAAUCCCCGGGCUUAACUCGGGAAGUGCGGUAGAUACUCUGGGACUAGAGUGCUGGAGGGGUUCGUGGAAUUCCCGGUGUAGCGGUGAAAUGCGUAGAUAUCUGGAGGAAUACCGGUGGCGAAGGCGGCAUCCUGGACCAUUACUGACGCUGAGGCGCGAAAGCUAGGGGAGCAAACGGG